CAGCCGUAAACUAUGCGCGUUAGGUGUACUGGUGACCACGAGUCACCGGGUGCCGAAGGGAAACCGUGAAACGUGCCGCCUGGGAAGUGCGGUCGCAAGGCUGAACCUAAGGAAUUGGCGGGGGAGCGACCAUAACGGGUGGAGCCUGCGGUUUAAUUGGACUCAACGCCGGAAAUCUCACCGGAUAGGACAGACAUAUGAUAGUCGGGCUGAAGACUCUACUUGAUGAUCUGAGAGGUGGUGCAUGGCGUCAGUGACU
Molecule: ribosomal RNA, 259 nt
Filed under: uncultured archaeon
Lineage: Archaea
Description: partial 16S ribosomal RNA
Rfam family: Archaeal small subunit ribosomal RNA
Source: RNAcentral